AGCGAACGCUGGCGGCAGGCUUAACACAUGCAAGUCGAGCGCCGUAGCAAUACGGAGCGGCAGACGGGAGAGUAACACGUGGGAACGUACCCUUCGGUUCGGAACAACCCAGGGAAACUUGGGCUAAUACCGGAUACGUCCGUAAGGAGAAAGAUUCAUCGCCGAAGGAUCGGCCCGCGUCUGAUUAGCUAGUUGGUGGGGUAACGGCCCACCAAGGCGACGAUCAGUAGCUGGUCUGAGAGGAUGAUCAGCCUCACUGGGACUGAGACA
RNAcentral lists this ribosomal RNA (270 nucleotides) under uncultured bacterium. RNAcentral describes it as "partial 16S ribosomal RNA". It matches the Rfam family "Bacterial small subunit ribosomal RNA", at positions 29 to 326 of the family's 1533-position model. The record is from RNAcentral.